Molecule: long non-coding RNA, 1068 nt
Organism: Ochotona princeps (American pika)
Lineage: Eukaryota; Metazoa; Chordata; Mammalia; Lagomorpha; Ochotonidae
Exons: 5
Source: RefSeq, a predicted model, not a curated record
GGCUAUAUAAGCCCGAGCCGGUGGGCCCCAGGCCUGGUGAACCUCUCCAAGCCCAGCACCUCCGUCCUCUGAGAUGCCAAGACCACCGGACCAAGUUCGGCCUGAGACCCUCCAGAACCCGUGACUGCGCCCGUAUCUCUGCACCUGGCAGGGGCUGCCAGGAGCCCUAAGGGCAAACAGCAAAGUGAAUGUGUGAAGUCAAUGCUGAGCGUCAACUGGGACGCCCUGGUGGCAGAGUUAACUCCCAGCCAUGCUGACUGCUGAGAUGGAAAAUCAGAGUGACCCCAAGACUCCUCAGGGUCCAGGACCCUGUCAGAUGGACCACCCACAGGAAUCAGACCCUCAUGGACACCACCUCGCCACAGUUGUCACCAUGUCAUGUUUUUGAGGAAACCUUCAGCAGCACGGGGGAGACAAAGAGCUGUGCAUAGUUACAUUUGAAGCACACGACUAAAGCAUGCGGACGUCAAUGACUGAGCUUUGAGUGAAAAGCAGACCACGUGAAUGCUCAGGACGUCUUGCGGCCAUCCCGCUGGCGUUUGCAGCCGAGGCCCCAGGAGCGCCCAGCGGCCAGCUCUCCGCUCCGACACAAGGCACCUGGAAGCUCAGGGACUCGCCUGCCUUCAGCAUCGUCAUCUGAUUGUUAGACUCUACUGAUGAAUGAGGACCUACAUCUGACAAAGACUGCGCGAGAAAUACGGAAUGAUGAUCCCAGGGCGUGGCGGCCCCACGUGCCUCUCCCCACACUCACCACAUGCGUCCCCACAGGUAGCCGGACUUCCCUUCUGCCAAUGCCACAGGAAAGCACACUCCAAGAAGCCUGCCCUGCUGAAGGGGAGGGCUGCUUCCACCUGCCGGGCCCAACCUAGCUCAAUAAUGUCACAAAGAAUUAAGCACCACAUCCUCAAAUAACUGAACAAAUGCACCAAAAUUUUAGAACAGGUAUGUUGAAGUGGGUGGAGAGGGGAGGAAGGAGAGGACAUGAUCAGAUGGAGAAAUGGCACCAAUGAGGGAGGGGAAUCAUAGCAACCUGCUGAGAAACAUGUGACUCUUGCACUUUAAAACUGG